CCGGGGCCCGGCCCCGCCGCAGGGGAGGCGGAGGCGAGCCCGCCCCGCACCGCUCCGCAGCCCGGCCCCGGCCCGCUCUGCCGCAGGAUUUAAGGACACUGCUCUCACACACUGGUUAUAUCAGCGUGAACAACUGCAGAAUGACUUGGGGAAAACUGCAGAACUCACCAUGUCAAAAAUCAUCAUUCUUUAUCAAGUGGAUCAUGGCAGCACCCGGAGGCCCCAUUCAGGGCUCACAGCUCCAUUGUGUCGGAUACUGUAGACACAUGUAAUAAGAGAGAUGGUCUAUGCCCAAAGAGCUUAUGAUCUUAACCCAUGAUGAAAGACAACAGGUGUAUAGUACAAACCCAUGGGGGAAGGAUAAGGGAAAAACAGCCUUGAGAAUAAAAAGCAACAGGCCCAGCCGGUGACAAGUGUUUGGUGUCAGAAGGAAGUUUUAAGGAGAUUUGAAGGAGAACAAUAAAGGAGCUUUACGGUUAUUAAUGGGGAGAUUUUUCCAUGCAUAAUGGCUAACCUGGAAGAGAACAUAAAAUUGCUUGUUAAAAGAUUGCACUGCAGAAAAGUGAAGGUUUGUGCCACUGGCAAAGCAGAGGGGAAUAUUGCCGAGUGACCAUAAGGGCCUGGUAUCUGGUGUGCUCUCAGGAAAGAGGUUCCCAUCUCCUUUCCAGUGCUUUAAAUUUACAUUUCUAGUCCCAGUGAAGAGUAUAAUAUGGAUUUUUUUCUUUACUUCAGGCUUCAGUAUUUUCUAUGUUGUACUUCACACCAGCUUACCUUAUGAAAAAUAUCUUAAGGAAAAGAAGAAAGUAUUGGAAUAGUUGCCUUUUUUUUUUUAUUGUUAAGGGACUUAAAUGAAAGCCUACAGGUUAUUUGCUAUAGGAAGUUUAGUGUUAUAGAAGUGUUAUCUAAGUUGAGGCUUUGAUGUCUGAAUUACUCAUAAGUAUCAAAGCCACACAUGAAUUAUGCAGGACAUCCCCAAAAUUAUACCCAUCUGUGAGUAGGUGGUAUUCCAACCUUGCUUCACAUAAAAUCUAUGUGUGAUGUGUAAUGUCAAACUUACCCCUUACAGAAGUUUGGCAUUGCUGAUAGCUGGGGCUGCAUUAAAAACCUAUACUUUUAUCCCCAAGACACUGAGGCAGGAACAUCCCUAGCUCCCCUCUACUCGAGAUUCACACCCACUUCCCUUAUACCCUCCUGGAAUUAAAGACUGCAUCUGCCACAGUGAGUCAUCAAGAGCUUACUCAUCAGCUUUAUGCAGGAUUUUAACUCCUGAGAGCAGAACUGGUCAGAAGGAUCCUGCAUUUCUUGAGGAGUUCCUGGCACACGUUCUUCUCACAUGUACCACACUAAUGUGACACCUCUGUCAGGUUUUAGAUGUUAUGGCACUUUUAAAAGAAAACUAUUUCACCUGUACUCUGCCACCUAGUUUAGUUUAAAAAGAUCAUUUCACAUAUCAUUUUUUGAGUGUCAUAUAAAAAUAAUUCAGCCUGCCAAAA
Long non-coding RNA from Melospiza melodia melodia, 1493 nucleotides. RefSeq lists it as uncharacterized. NCBI's taxonomy places the organism in Eukaryota, Metazoa, Chordata, Aves, Passeriformes, Passerellidae. The transcript is spliced from 2 exons. The record is from RefSeq and is a predicted model, not a curated record.